AUACGUAGGGACCGAGCGUUAUCCGGAAUUACUGGGCGUAAAGGGCACGCAGGCGGUCAUGCAAGUCAGCUGUUAAAUGUGGGGGCUUAACCCUUACGAGCGGUUGAAACUGUGUGACUUGAGUACUGGAGAGGUAAGCGGAAUUCCCGGUGUAGCGGUGAAAUGCGUAGAUAUCGGGAAGAACACCAGUGGCGAAGGCGGCUUACUGGCCAGCAACUGACGCUGAGGUGCGAAAGCCAGGGUAGCGAACCGGAUUAGAUACCCGGGUAGUCCUGGCCGUAAACGCUGAAUGCUAGGUGUGGGUGGGUAGAACCAUCCGUGCCGGAGUUAACGCGAUAAGCAUUCCGCCUGGGGAUUACGACCGCAAGGUUGAA
RNAcentral lists this ribosomal RNA (374 nucleotides) under uncultured bacterium. RNAcentral's name for it is "bacterial SSU rRNA". It matches the Rfam family "Bacterial small subunit ribosomal RNA", at positions 523 to 898 of the family's 1533-position model. The record is from RNAcentral.